CUUGUCAACUUUACUAAACACCUGAAAAUAACUAACAAAUCCCAUCAACCUCUCUUCCCUCUAAAACUGCAGAAUUCCACCUCAGCCUUCGCCAAAAAGCUUCCCAUCACCUCAAUACCACUCAUGUUUUUGACUUACUUCGUGGGUCCGGAAGACAGUGGUGAAAGCAUUUAGCUCCAUCCAACGCAAAAGCAACUCUUCACUUCUUUUGUACUUGAAAAAAGAGACAUGCAUUACCUGCAACCAAAAUGCUGAAAUGGGAACAUCAUAAGUCCUUAGUUUCUCCCAAAUAUGGCGUACGGUUUCCGUG
Molecule: long non-coding RNA, 310 nt
Organism: Corylus avellana
Lineage: Eukaryota; Viridiplantae; Streptophyta; Magnoliopsida; Fagales; Betulaceae
Source: RefSeq, a predicted model, not a curated record